RNAcentral lists this ribosomal RNA (435 nucleotides) under uncultured bacterium. RNAcentral describes it as "partial 16S ribosomal RNA". It matches the Rfam family "Bacterial small subunit ribosomal RNA", at positions 29 to 507 of the family's 1533-position model. The record is from RNAcentral.
AACGAACGCUGGCGGCAGGCCUAACACAUGCAAGUCGAGCGGACAUCUUCGGAUGUUAGCGGAGGACGGGUGAGUAACGCGUGGGAACGUGCCCUUUGCUUCGGAAUAGCCUCGGGAAACUGGGAGUAAUACCGGAUGUACCCUUUGGGGGAAAGAUUUAUCGGCAAAGGAUCGGCCCGCGUUGGAUUAGGUAGUUGGUGGGGUAAUGGCAUACCAAGCCGACGAUCCAUAGCUGGUUUGAGAGGAUGAUCAGCCACACUGGGACUGAGACACGGCCCAGAAUCCUACGGGAAGCAGCAGUGGGGAAUCUUAGACAAUGGGGGAAACUCUGAGCUAGCCAUGCCGCGUGAGCGAUGAAGGCCUUAGGGUUGUAAAGCUCUUUCAACGGGGAAGAUAAUGACGGUACCCGGAGAAGAAGCCCCGGCUAACUCCGUG